RNAcentral lists this ribosomal RNA (429 nucleotides) under uncultured bacterium. RNAcentral describes it as "bacterial SSU rRNA". It matches the Rfam family "Bacterial small subunit ribosomal RNA", at positions 917 to 1344 of the family's 1533-position model. The record is from RNAcentral.
GGACCCGCACAAGUAGUGGAGCAUGUGGUUUAAUUCGAAGAUACGCGCAGAACCUUACCAACACUUGACAUGUUCGUCGCGGCUCUAAGAGAUUAGAGCUUUCGGUUCGGCCGGACGAAACACAGGUGCUGCAUGGCUGUCGUCAGCUCGUGUCGUGAGAUGUUGGGUUAAGUCCCGCAACGAGCGCAACCCUCACUUUUAGUUGCCAUCAUUUAGUUGGGCACUCUGAAAGAACUGCCAGUGAUAAGCUGGAGGAAGGUGGGGAUGACGUCAAGUCCUCAUGGCCCUUACGUGUUGGGCUACACACGUGCUACAAUGGCAUUUACAAUAGGAAGCAAGAUGGCGACGUCAAGCAAAUCCUAAAAAGAUGCCUCAGUUCGGAUUGUACUCUGCAACUCGAGUACAUGAAGCUGGAAUUACUAGUAAUCG